RNAcentral lists this ribosomal RNA (497 nucleotides) under uncultured bacterium. RNAcentral's name for it is "partial 16S ribosomal RNA". It matches the Rfam family "Bacterial small subunit ribosomal RNA", at positions 28 to 507 of the family's 1533-position model. The record is from RNAcentral.
GAUGAACGCUGGCGGCGUGCCCAAUACAUGCAAGUCGAGCGAACGGACGAGAAGCUUGCUUCUCUGAUGUUAGCGGCGGACGGGUGAGUAACACGUGGAUAACCUACCUAUAAGACUGGGAUAACUUCGGGAAACCGGGGCUAAUACCGGAUGAUAUUUUGAACCGCAUGGUUCAAAAGUGAAAGACGGUCUUGCUGUCACUUAUAGAUGGAUCCGCGCUGCAUUAGCUAGUUGGUAAGGUAACGGCUUACCAAGGCAACGAUGCAUAGCCGACCUGAGAGGGUGAUCGGCCACACUGGAACUGAGACACGGUCCAGACUCCUACGGGAGGCAGCAGUAGGGAAUCUUCCGCAAUGGGCGAAAGCCUGACGGAGCAACGCCGCGUGAGUGAUGAAGGUCUUCGGAUCGUAAAACUCUGUUAUUAGGGAAGAACAUAUGUGUAAGUAACUGUGCACAUCUUGACGGUACCUAAUCAGAAAGCCACGGCUAACUACGUG